RNAcentral lists this ribosomal RNA (533 nucleotides) under uncultured Alphaproteobacteria bacterium. RNAcentral describes it as "bacterial SSU rRNA". It matches the Rfam family "Bacterial small subunit ribosomal RNA", at positions 345 to 896 of the family's 1533-position model. Lineage: Bacteria; Pseudomonadati; Pseudomonadota; Alphaproteobacteria. The record is from RNAcentral.
GAGGCAGCAGUGGGGAAUCUUAGACAAUGGGCGCAAGCCUGAUCUAGCCAUGCCGCGUGAGUGAUGAAGGCCUUAGGGUCGUAAAGCUCUUUCGCCUGUGAUGAUAAUGACAGUAGCAGGUAAAGAAACCCCGGCUAACUCCGUGCCAGCAGCCGCGGUAAUACGGAGGGGGUUAGCGUUGUUCGGAAUUACUGGGCGUAAAGCGCACGUAGGCGGAUUGGAAAGUUGGGGGUGAAAUCCCGGGGCUCAACCCCGGAACUGCCUCCAAWACUAUCAGUCUAGAGUUCGAGAGAGGUGAGUGGAAUUCCAAGUGUAGAGGUGAAAUUCGUAGAUAUUUGGAGGAACACCAGUGGCGAAGGCGGCUCACUGGCUCGAUACUGACGCUGAGGUGCGAAAGUGUGGGGAGCAAACAGGAUUAGAUACCCUGGUAGUCCACACCGUAAACGAUGAAUGCUAGUCGUCGGGCAGUAUACUGUUCGGUGUCACACCUAACGGAUUAAGCAUUCCGCCUGGGGUGUACGGUCGCAAGAUUA